GCCCGGCUGGCGCAAUGGUAGCGCGCAAGACUUCUAUCCUGAAAUCUUGAGGCUGUGGGUUCGAGCCCCACGUUGGGCU
Molecule: transfer RNA, 79 nt
Organism: Aureobasidium subglaciale EXF-2481
Lineage: Eukaryota; Fungi; Ascomycota; Dothideomycetes; Dothideales; Saccotheciaceae
Rfam family: tRNA
About the family: Transfer RNA (tRNA) molecules are approximately 80 nucleotides in length. Their secondary structure includes four short double-helical elements and three loops (D, anti-codon, and T loops).
Source: Rfam